GAUGAACGCUGGCGGCGUGCCUAAUACAUGCAAGUCGAGCGAACAGAUGAGGAGCUUGCUCCUCUGACGUUAGCGGCGGACGGGUGAGUAACACGUGGAUAACCUACCUAUAAGACUGGGAUAACUUCGGGAAACCGGAGCUAAUACCGGAUAAUAUAUUGAACCGCAUGGUUCAAUAGUGAAAGACGGUUUUGCUGUCACUUAUAGAUGGAUCCGCGCCGCAUUAGCUAGUUGGUAAGGUAACGGCUUACCAAGGCAACGAUGCGUAGCCGACCUGAGAGGGGAGCCGGCCAAACGGAAACGGGAAACGGGCCCAAACCCCUACGGGGGGCAGCAGUAGGGAAUUUUCCGAAAGGGGGGAAAGCCGGAGGGAGAAACGCCGGGGGGGGGAUGAAGGUUUUGGGAUCGUAAAACUCUUUUAUUGGGAAAAAAAAAAUGUGAAAGUAACUAUCCCGGUUUUGAGGGUACCUAAUCAAAAAGCCACGGUAAACUACGG
RNAcentral lists this ribosomal RNA (496 nucleotides) under uncultured bacterium. Its description in RNAcentral is "partial 16S ribosomal RNA". It matches the Rfam family "Bacterial small subunit ribosomal RNA", at positions 28 to 506 of the family's 1533-position model. The record is from RNAcentral.